This is a long non-coding RNA of Coffea arabica (coffee), 603 nucleotides long. RefSeq lists it as uncharacterized. The record is from RefSeq and is a predicted model, not a curated record. NCBI's taxonomy places the organism in Eukaryota, Viridiplantae, Streptophyta, Magnoliopsida, Gentianales, Rubiaceae.
UACGCAAAGGCUUCGGAACCGCAAUUCAUUUCCUUUCCUCUGCUGCAAUGGACGGCUAGACUGCAGCAAAGGAACAACCGAAGCUUCACCAUUUCUUCUCUUCCAAAACUCAACCAAAUUCCUACCAAAACUUCCAUAGAUUCUCACCAAACUUCACAUUCAUUUAGCUUUUCACUUGGACAACAACAUAGGCUGAAAAAGGGAGGAGCUUUCACGGUUUCUUCAAGCUUCAAAGGACCGAAAAAUCUGUCCAAACCAGCCAUCAAAGUAGGCACGCACGAGGACCUCCAAGAGGACCCUACUGUGGAAGUUUGAACUCUCCCUCCAACCUACUAGCUUGCAUAACUUGGUUGAGUUCAGAGGUAAAAUGGAGCAACCCUCUUGAUGUGCUUUUGUUUUAGAGUUGCUAUUACUUUUGUUUAUGCCUUUGGCUUUGGACGAAAUGUAUUAUGUAUGCUGACGGGUGGUUUGAAAAAUGGAUAACUGUUAUUAAGUUUGAACACUUCCGCAAUUAUUGUAUCUAAGUUAUCGAUUUGUAUUGUGUGGUCCGGAUAUAAGUUGAAUGGAAUUGCUUGAGUCCUGACGAGAGUUAGGCAGGCGUCC